AGGACGAACGCUGGCGGCGUGCCUAACACAUGCAAGUCGAACGAGAUCCAUCCAGUGGCAACACUGGUGAAGAUCUAGUGGCGAACGGGUGAGUAACACGUGAGGAACCUGCCCCGAAGACCGGGAUAACUCUCCGAAAGGAGAGCUAAUACCGGAUACCCCCAACUGAUCGCAUGGUCGGAUGAGGAAAUGGAUUCCGCUUCGGGAGGGCCUCGCGGCCUAUCAGCUAGUUGGUGAGGUAACGGCUCACCAAGGCAUCGACGGGUAGCUGGUCUGAGAGGACGAUCAGCCACACUGGAACUGAGACACGGUCCAGACUCCUACGGGAGGCAGCAGUGGGGAAUCUUGCGCAAUGGGCGAAAGCCUGACGCAGCAACGCCGCGUGGGGGAUGAAGGCUCUCGGGUUGUAAACCCCUUUCAGUAGGGACGAAAUCAGACGGUACCUACAGAAGAAGCCCGGCCAACUACGUGCCAGCAGCCGCGGUAA
Molecule: ribosomal RNA, 487 nt
Filed under: uncultured bacterium
Lineage: Bacteria
Description: SSU rRNA
Rfam family: Bacterial small subunit ribosomal RNA
Source: RNAcentral